UUUGUGUUUGUUUUUAAUCUUGUGGAUCUUCCUCACCGCCACCAAGUGAAUCACUAGCCUGAGAUUCGCCGGAAACUUGCCGUCCGUACUGAUUUAAACCGGAGAGAAUAUUAUGAUGAUGAUGCUGUUGUUGUUGUUGUUGAUGAUGAUGUCUCUGUGUAUUAUGAUGAUCACCACCGUCACUUCUUCCUCCUUCAUUAUUAUUAUUAUCUUCAUUGAUCUCAUGAUUACUACUUGUUGCAAGCUGUUGUCCAGUAAGAAAUGCCAUUGGCGCUGCAAAAUUCAUAAAAUGUAAACCGCUUGAAACCGCACCGCCUGAAACGCCGGAAACGCUACUUCUGUAUAAGGCAGCAGCCGCAGUGUUAAUAGAAGGAAACGUCCAAACAGGCUCUCCACCGCCACUGCCUCCACCGCUACCAACAGAACCACCUCCUGUUUGGUUAUUAUUACCACCUGCGGCCGCCGCAGCCGCAACCAUCCAGAAGUUUCCUGGUAUUUGCGCGGUUGUAGCGGUAGAACCACUGUUGCUAGACUGAAGCGUAUAGCCACCGAUUUGAUCAUGUUGAUGAUGUAAAUCCGACGUCGUUUGGAGUCUUCGUUUCUUGUCCGGACUUAACUCUUCCGAAUCUUGAUCUCCUUCUUGCUUUGUCGGAUUAUGGAAGUUCAAAAAAGACGUCGUUGGUGUGAAGUUAUCGAUACCAGGAAAGAGAGACGACGUCGUUGCACGUCCUUGUAGAUGAUGGUGAGGAUGAAGAAACCCACCACCACCACUUCUUUGUUGUUGCUGUUGAAGUAGCGAUGGAGAGAAGAUGUUGUUAGGGCUAAAAGUGGAAGCUGCGUUACGGUAAUGAGAAGGGAGAGACAUGGAGGAGCCUGAAGAACGGAGAGAGAUGUUGAGAGAAGUGAAGUUCGCCGGGAUAGUUCCUGUUCCGGUGGCGGCAAUAACUGAGGGCUCAGCUUGUUGAAGAAGCCACUCGAUGGUUUCACCGUCGGAUUUAUGGCCGAGCUCUCUUGUGAGCUGGAACACCCUAGCUGCGCACAACGCCGGCAUCCUUAUCCUCCUCCCUCUUCCGUCUACUUUCGUGUGUCUAUCUUUCGUCGACGCUCGUUUUAGCGGCGGCUUUUUAGCUACGACCACCGCUGUUUCCUCUUGCGUUACCUGCAAGUCUUUCUGCGGUUGUGGCUUUUGCUGCUGGGGUUGCGGUUGCGUUUGGGAUAGCUGUUGGUGUUGGUGGAGGGAGAAGAGAGAUGAGGAAGAGGAGGGGGAAGGUUGUUGUUGUUGUUGUUGUUGUUGAUUGUUGUCGUCGGGGUCUCGCUUUCCGAGGAGUUGGAAAGGGAAAGUUGGC
This 1346-nucleotide long non-coding RNA is filed under the name Brassica rapa (field mustard). Its description in RNAcentral is "long non-coding RNA (BRAP_LNC004271)". Lineage: Eukaryota; Viridiplantae; Streptophyta; Magnoliopsida; Brassicales; Brassicaceae. The record is from RNAcentral.